Molecule: small RNA, 37 nt
Filed under: Romboutsia ilealis
Lineage: Bacteria; Bacillati; Bacillota; Clostridia; Peptostreptococcales; Peptostreptococcaceae
Description: CRISPR spacer
Source: RNAcentral
UAUCAUAAAUACAUCAUCAAUUAUUUUCGUUUCGAUU